AAUACGUAGGGUGCGAGCGUUGUCCGGGAUUGUUGGGCGUAAAGAGCUCGUAGGCGGUUUGUCGCGUCGGCCGUGAAAACUUGGGGCUUAACUCCAAGCUUGCGGUCGAUACGGGCAGACUUGAGUUCGGCAGGGGAGACUGGAAUUCCUGGUGUAGCGGUGAAAUGCGCAGAUAACAGGAGGAACACCGGUGGCGAAGGCGGGUCUCUGGGCCGAUACUGACGCUGAGGAGCGAAAGCGUGGGGAGCGAACAGGA
Molecule: ribosomal RNA, 256 nt
Filed under: uncultured prokaryote
Description: partial 16S ribosomal RNA
Rfam family: Bacterial small subunit ribosomal RNA
Source: RNAcentral